Molecule: long non-coding RNA, 16963 nt
Filed under: Salvia miltiorrhiza (redroot sage)
Lineage: Eukaryota; Viridiplantae; Streptophyta; Magnoliopsida; Lamiales; Lamiaceae
Description: long non-coding RNA (SMIL_LNC010422)
Source: RNAcentral
GGUCACGGAAAUGCUGUAAAUCACGCAAGAUCUCCUCCUGUAUAGUCAUCUGACGAGCAUACUCGUCUCUCUGCCACUCUAGCUCAGCUCGUUGAUAUGGCUUGAACUGCUGCUUCCUGACAUACUUCUUUCUCUGAUAAGCCUCAAACACGGCGAGGUGCCCAAACUCAUCCCAGGCGUAUGUCUCGAAUGCUCGAUGAUGGGUUAACUCCUUCCGAGCAUACGCCUUAAAAGUUGUCUGGCGUACAUCUGUCGCCUGCUGCACUAAACGAAUAGUCAUGACAUCAGAGCGCAUGACUGUAAGCUAAGCAUCUUGCUGCUGCGCGUAUGUCUUCAGACGACCCAUCAUAUCCAUGAGGUCUGUCACAUCAAAAUGAAAAUCAGCGCCAACAACGGCACCAUCUACCCCGUGAGGAGAGGAAUUAACAUCAUCAUCCUCGGCAUUCUUGUCCUCUAUGGCAAUCGGGCCACCACCUUGGACGUGGACUAUAACCGUCUAAUGGGCAGGAGUGUCCAACUUCCAAUUGAUCAUGUCAUGUCGACCAUUAACAGUAUCAACGUGAUGUUGGGCACCGAAAAUUGAUCUCUGUCCUUUUGAAUCAGUUUGAAAGGCAGGUGUGUUUUAGAAAGGCAGUGUCCUUUAACCAAUGUCCCUACAUUAUAACCAAAGAAAAAGAUAAUUUUUAUCUUAGUCUUGACAUACUUUUAGCGAUGGAGAUUGUAGACAAUUGACAAGCCUGUGGUAAUCGGUAAGUAAUCCAGAUUGUAUUAAAUUUCGAUGAAAGUAUACACACCAUAUUCCAUCAAUUGAGAUUUGACUGAACACAUACUUGUGAGAUUCAAUUGUUUGAAAUUUUAAUGUUGAUUUUAUUAUGGGUUGUACUUAUUGGUGAUUUUUGUGCCAAAUUAUUGAGGAUUUGAAAAAAAUUAUUUCAUUCUAUACUUUUUUUAGGCAUCGAUGAUUUAGAAUUCUAUACAUUCGUGUUUAUUGAUUGUGUUUUUCUAAUUAUUCAAGGACGAACAAUUGCUUAAGUUUGGGAGAGUUGAUAAACAUUCAUUUUGCAUUGUUUUUAUUGGUAUGUUAUUAUAUGAAGUGUUAGAAUUAUGCUUGAAUGUGAUAUCAUUUGUUAUGAGUUUUGUAUUCUUUCAUGACAUUACGCUUGAGUGUAGUUUUGGUUGUUUUGGUAAAGAUUUGAGUGUUAUAAUUUCAAUAAUGUAGGUCCAGGAUCGAGUAUGGGGAGUAUCAGACACGAAAAUAAAUAAAAAAACGGGUUCAAAAAGAUGAAUAAUCGGGCAAAAAGAUAGAGCUCGGCGACCACUAUAGUGGUCGUCGAGGUUAGGCGUGAGUAUGGCGACCGCCACGGAGGUCGUCGGCGUCUUUGGAUGAGUUUGGUGAGCUUGGCGACCCUAGCGGCGGUCGCCAACGGGAAGAAGGAUUCUGUGCAUGAGUCCGACGAUCGCGUGUCCUUUUUUUGCGUUUUUCUACGUAUUUUCAUAUUUUUAAAUUGAGUUUAUCCUUGAGCCUGCAAAUAGGUCUCAUUGUCCGUUUUCGUAUUUUAAUAUUCCUAGACUUAGAACUUUGUUGAUUUCUAAUUUUUAGAGUUUGGAUCAGAUUUUCACAAGAUUGAAGAUUCAAGUUUGUUACGUCGAACUCAUUUCAGGUAUUAUUUAAUUUAUUCUUUCCAAUUGCUUUAUUUUUAGUUAUGUUUUUGUUUUAUUUUUUAAUGUCUGGCUAGUUUAUUUUNUUAUUCUAGGGGUUUGUAUGUAGUUGAUAGAAUAUGUGGCUCACACAAAAUUAUCUCUUCUUACACUUAGGGUGUGUUUGGUAGGUCAUAUUAGGCGAGUUUGUAUAGGUAACUGGUCUUAUUUAUCCGUUUGGUAGCCCAUUUUCAUAACAAGGUAGGCCCGCACUUAUGGCAAGGCCUGUCCCUAAUCAACUGUUCCGCCUCUAUACUGCAUCCGGCGAGAGGGGUCGGUUACCUUUACUGCUGUGCCACAGUAGAUUAGUUAAGUUUUUUUAUUCCCCAUUUGCCCCUUAUUAAAAUUCAAAAAAAGAUAGAAUUUUGAGGCAAUAUGAAUGUCUUUUAAAAAUGUUUAUGGGGUCAUAAUAGUAAUUUCUGCAUGUUAUCUUAAUUUUAGCAAAAGCUGCCAAACACCGCUCCAUGUUAACAUGCGUUUUUAACUUGCAUACCAAACACACGAACUCAUAUAGCAAACUCAAUUAAACUUUGAAAUAUAUCCUAAUCUUAUCUAUCCUGCUAUAACCCCAACCACCUACCAAACAUGCCCUUAAAAAAUAAUAUCCUAUUAUAAACUAAAGAUAAACGAGAGAAUAGAGAAGAUAAUAUGUAUUGAGCAUAUUCAAUAUGAGGGCCAAAGACCUCUAUUUAUACAAGUAGGAAGCUAGAGUUUUAGGGAGAUUUCUUGGUCAACACACAUAAGAUAUAUCUAGAAGAUAUAUUUACAACACUUGCCUUUGAUUGACCAAUCCCUAAAACAAAAAUGUUGCCUCAUUAAAAACCUUGCCAGGAAAACCCAAUGGGACAAAACCUAGUCGAAGGAAAAAGAGUACAACUGCUUCCCCUGAACUUGAGAUCAUUGAAGAUCUUUGAGUCGGCGCAUGCCGAUCUCAUGUACCAACUUUCUGAAUGUCGAUGUUGGUAAUGCCUUGGUGAAUAAGUCCGCCAGAAUAUUACUUGAGCGAAUUUGUUGAACGUCGAUAUCACCAUCCUUUUGAAGGUCGUGUGUGUAGAAUAACUUAGGAGAAAUAUGCUUCAUCCUAUCGCCUUUGAUGUGUCCUCAUUUGAGUUGCGCGAUGCAAGCAACAUUGUCUUCAUAUAAAAUAGUUGGUUUUGCCUUUGAUGAAGCUAACCCGCACGACUCUUGGACAUGACUCGUCACAUGUCUCAACCACGCACAUUCUCGACUUGUUUCGUGGAUUGCAAUGAUUUCAAAAUUAUUUGAAGAUGUUGCAGUCAAGGUUUGCUUCACAGACUUCCAUGAUAUAGCAGUUCCACCACAUGUGAAAACGAAUCCAGUUUGUGACUUAGCUUCAUGUGGAUCGGAUAAAAAUCCUGCAUCCGAAUACCCCACUAGAGUAUUAUCAGAAUUUUCUUGAUAAUAUAAUCCAAGGUCAAUGGUACCCUUUAGAUAACGUAGAAUGUGCUUAAGACCAUUCCAAUGUCUCAAAGUGGGUGCAACGCUAAAUCUUGCUAGAAGAUUGACAGAAAAAGCUAUAUCCGGUCUACUAUUAUUAGCCAGAUAAGUCAACACUCCAAUUGCACUUAGAUAUGGUACUUCAGGAUCAAGUAUUGUUUCACCCUCUUCAAUUGGUCGAAAUGGAUCUUUCUUAGUAUCAAGAGAUCUAACGACCAUUGGUGAUGCUAAUGGAUGUGCAUUAUCCAUAUAAAAGCGUUUUAACACUUUUUCUGUAUAUGUGGAUUGAUGGAUAAACGUUCCUCCACGGAUACGUUCCAUUUGCAAACCAAGACAAAACUUUGUCUUUCCCAAAUCUUUCAUCUCAAAUUCUUUCUUCAAAUAUUCAGCAGUUUUAUUGAGCUCUUCAGGAGUUCCAAUUAAAUUUAAAUCAUCAACAUAAAGUGCUAUGAUUGCAAAUCCACUUUCGGUUUUCUUAAUGAAAACACAAGGACAAAUAUAAUUAUUCAUGUAUCAUUCUUUCAAAAGAUACUCGGUCAGUCUAUUGUACCACAUACUACCAGACUGUUUCAACCCAUACAACAAUUUUUGCAGUUUAAUUGAAUACAUGCUUUUGGGUUUUGACUGCAAUCCUUCAGGCAUUUUAAAUCCUUCGGGAAUUUUCAUAUAUAUGUCAUUAUUUAAUGACCCAUAUAGAUAAGCAGUUACUACAUCUAUAAGGCGCAUAUCAAGCCUUUGUGACACAGCUAAACUAAUCAAAAUCUGAAAGUAAUAGCGUUCAUUACGAGAGAGUAUAUUUCCUUAUAAUCAAUUCCUGAUUUUUGAGAGAAACCUUGUGCUACGAGUCUUGUUCUAUAUCUCAUAACUUCAUUUUCUUGUUUCUCUUUCUAACAAAGAUCCAUCUGUAUCCAACAUGGAUUUUGGAUUCUGGAGUUAGAGUUAUAUAUCCAAAUACUUUUCGGUUAUCACAUGAAUUUAAUUCCCUUUCUAUAUCUUCUUUCACUUUGGCCAAUCAAGUCUCUGUUUGCAUUCUGCAACAGAUUUUAGUUGAGGAUCUUCAUUUAAAACAUGAAGAGCUAUAUGAAAGGUAAAUAUAUCAUCAACAAUGAUAUUUUCUCUCUCUAGUACCUGAUUUCAAUGUAAAUAAUUUAUUGAGAUCUCAUGAUUUUUAGAUACUUGUAAUUCUUCAGGAAUUACAUAACUUUUAUUUGGUUGAUUAGUCAUUUUCAUCAUUGUUUGGUUUACGACAUAGAUGUAUUUCAUAUCAAGAUUCAAGAAAUCGCAGUUUGAUUUAACUGGAAUAGAAAAGCAAUUGAACAUAAAUUAUGUGAUUGAAAACCUUAAUCAUCGCCAGCCACUUAAUUAAAUAAUAAAAAAUUUAGUAUAUUAACAUACAUGGAUCGAUGCGUGAUUUUCAUAUCAAGAAUUGUUAUACAAAUAUUAUACAGUUCGAAAAAAAAUCAAACUUUUUGAAUCAAAUAUGAAUGCAAGAUGAAGUUAUUUAAUUAACUACACUCUUAUAUGAUUCACAUAAAAUCAGCACAUAUAUAAAAAUUAAAGUAGAAUUACCUUUCUACGAUCGAAGGGAGAUGAGAGCUAGAACUAUCGUGCUGAUAACGUAUUAUAAACUAAAGAAAAACGAGAGAAUAGAGAAGAUAAUAUGUAUUGAGCGUAUUCAAUAUGAGGGCCAAAGGCCUCUAUUUAUACAAGUAGGAAGCUAGGGUUUUAGGGAGAUUUCUUGGUCAACACACAUAAGAUAUGUCUAGAAGAUAUAUUUUACAACAUAUCCUCAUUUCUCUCUCCCAUUUUCACAAAUUUACCUUGAAAAAGCUACUUUAUCUAUCCUAUUUUAUUAUAAGCUAUUCAUUUUUUAAUAUUGGUACUCAGGCCUUGUGGCCUAUUAAAAUGAGACGGAUGAAGUAUAUUGAAUAUUUUUUCAUAAAUUAAAUUUCACAAUUAUUAAGAAGUAAAUGAUAAAACAACAUUAUUUUGGGAGAUGAUUGAUAAAACUCAUUUUUCUAUGGCUUAUAAAUAUUCUUAUUAUGUCAAUUUUUAAGGAAUUAAGUGUUUGAUGAUUGUUUUGUGCUUAAAUUAUUUUAUCUUGUGAAAUGUGAUACUUGCUCGUACUUUGAUGAAAUCUACAGAAAUAUUGAAGCUGAAUUUAAAAAAAUUGUCGUAAUGAAAAUUGUAGAUAAUCUCGAUAUGAGUUCGUGAGCGCAAACGUAUUGCAAAUGGAAGUUUAGACGAUAGAUAUAUGGCCAAAACAACAAAGUCGCACGCAAUAGUGAAAAUUGGUGACCAUUUUGGCGAUCGCUGAUUUCUCUGUCUUUUUUGUGCGAAAAUGCAUUUUUAUUUGUAUUUUCGAGUUUUGUACUGUACUUUUCCCUUGUGCCUAUAUAUAAGUCCCUUUGUUGACCUAUUAGCCACCUCUCUUCACCCCUUUUCAUAUUUUUCAGUUUUUAACUUUAUAAUUUAUUGUUUUCAUAGUUGUUAUGUCUUAUUUUAUGCAAGAUUGAGGAUUUUAGUUAUUCAUUCCGAGUUAUUUUCGAGUUCUAUAAAUUUUAUUUAUUUCAAAUUAUUUCUUUUUAAUUAUGUUUAUGAUUUAUUUUAUUAUGUCUAGCUAGUCCUUUUUUUUAUUUUAGGAUUUACAUGUAGUUGAUUGAAUUUAUGUGAUUAAUUUAUUAAUGUUGUGGUCCUGUUUCUGAUUUACAAUUCAUAGUACUUAUUUUUCGUGGAUUAUCUGGCCAAUAAUUUGUAUGUUUAGCUAUUCAGUUUGAGACAUAGUGGAGAUAACUGUUUAGCCAAUUCAAAAAUUUGUGAUAUGAUUUUAACCUUGAGAUUUUGUGGAGACAGAGUAUUUAUUAAUCAACUAUCUUAAAAUGUUCUAGCGAGAAUGUGUGACUAUUUAUGUGAUCUCUCAUCAGUACUGGAUUAAACUGGUAAUUUGGAUUAAUAGGUUAAUUGUGUAGAUUAUCUUUUUCUAUCUUGGUUGUUUUAUCUAAUUUGAUUUAUUUUCUUUGCGUGAGUGUAGUUUUAGUUCAUUAUCAUAUUUCUAUGUGUUUGCUUGGAUAUUUGAUUAGUGCUUGCUAGGAUUAUUAUUAUCAAUAGUGUUUUCGAUUAUUCAAUUCUUGUGUAUAUAAUAUUUUACUUGUUGUUUGUACUACAAUUAUACUGUGUUAGUUACAAUUUUAUAUUGCUAGAAAAAUAGUGAUCAACGAUCUUUUUAUAUAUAAGAUAGUAUUUAAAUUUACAGAUUAUUUUUAUUCAUAAAAAAUAUAUUCAAUAUACAUCUUAAAUUAAAGAUAAUGAUAAAAUAUUUAAUUUAAAAUAAAAUUAAUUAAAAAUAAUUUUGAAACCAAUAAUAUAUGUGAAUUUAAAAUUUCAAAAUAUUUUUGUCUCUUCUUUUACUCCUGACUUUUUUUUCUCUCAACCUUUCACCCUCAUAUUUUCACAGUUAAUAUCUAUAAAUUAUUCUCUCUCAUCCUCUUUACAUUCUGAAAUAUUGCCCUCAAUAUUAAUAGUGAAAAAAUUGCCAUCAAUUUCGCGAAAAAUAAAUUAUUGAAAACUUGUGUUUUCAUAUCAUAUUGAAAAAAUUGCCCUCAAAAUUUUUGAUGAUUUUUAUACGAUCUUAAAGAUGUUGUCAUGAAUUUAAAUUUAAGAUUCAUAUUGAAUAUUUCUUCAUAAAUAAAAUUUGGUGAUGUUUACAAAGGAAUCAAAAUUAAAAAGAAGAAAGAAGAAAGAAGAAAGAAGAAAGAGAAAAAAUGUGAGAAAAUUGAUGGAAAAAGAGAAAAAAAAAUGGUGGAAAAUUUCUUCUUUAUAUAUUACUCCAUCCGUCCCACUUAUCUUGAUACACUUUUCUUUUUAAUUUGUCACAUUUAUAAUGAUACUUUCUAAAAAUAGUAUGUGGUCCCUACCUUUACACACAUAAAAUAAGUGAACCGUACCCACUUUAUACUCUUAGCUCUUAACUCUUUAUUCUUAAUAUCUGUAUCUAAAGUAAAAAUGUCAAAAUAAGUGGGACGGAGAGAGUACUGAAUACCGUGCAAAAUUUAGAUAGAGACGGUUUCUUACAUGAUUUAUCGGCUUAUCACAUUUCAUUUUGUUGUCAAAUCGAGAUAUUUUAUAUAUACAUUAACUUUCAUUUUAAAUUGUCCAAAUGAAAUUAAUAAUAUUGCAGAAGAAACAUGAAAGCAUGCUAUCAUGUUCCUUUUUCUUUUUUUGUUGAGUUGCAUGCUAUCAUGUUCUUAACCAUAGGAACGUUCACGAAACUUUUAGAAAAAGAAUUUAAUUCAAAUUGAUUUUUUAAUAUCAUAAACAAUAAUAUCUCGUAGCUGUUAAUAUAAUACUAAGUACUAAUAAAUUAGUGAAAGAAAUAUAAUCUAUUAUGACAAUGGUAAUAAUUACUCCCUUCAUCCCAGAAUAUAUGUUCUAAUUUAUUUAUUAAAUACAAAAAAAUUAGGAUACUUAUUAUGGGAUCCAUUUGUCCCAUAAUAUAUGUGUUCUAAUUUAUUUAUUAAAUACAAAAAAAUUAGUAUAACAUAUUUUAUGGGACGAAGUAAGUAGCAGUUGGUUGCCAAAAUAACAAUAGACUACACUUGACUUGCUAAAGGUAGAAACUGUGCAAGAAAUCUAGGGCUUGCUUUGUCAUUGACAUCACUUUGUUAUAGUACGCACAAAUAGAAAUAUUUAUAUAACACACAUUACGUGUCACAUUACGUGUGUGGGGUUGAAAUUACGAAUAAUGCUAUCAUCUAACAAAUUGUGUGUAUGAAAUCAUUGAACAUCUAUACUAUAUUAAAAAAAGAGUUUUCAAUUUGAAAUUAAUUUCAAAUUGAUUUGAAAUCAAUUUCAAUGGCGAUUUUAUAAUUAAAAGUUAAUUUAAGAGCAAUAAUUUCAGCUGUAAUGUGAUGUGAACAUUAAAAAAAAAAACUGUCGUUUGGUGAUAAAUCGUGUAUCCCACUACUUUUUUUUAACACCUCACAACAAAUCUUAAAAAUUGUGAAUAUAUAAUAUUAAAUUUAUAUUCAUCAUAAGCUUUGUGUUCCAUUUAAAAAAAGCGAAAAUAUAGUAGUAUUGUUUUGUGUUUUGUUAUUUUUUCUCUUCUGAACAAUUAUUUUGCUCAACUUUAUGCUAUAUUUUGAAAGACAAAGAAAUGCGACUCAAUCCUCUCAAAUUAACAAUGUUGAAAAUUUAAAUUUAUUUGUCUUUAGGUAAGGAAUAUAUAUAAUAAUUCAUAAAAUUGAAAAUAAGUUAUAUAAGCCCACAAAUAUCAACGUCUAAAUUAUAAAUACAUUAUUGAUUUUUUUUUUCACAAUUGUGAAAAAAAAAAAACAGCCAAACAUAAUUUAACUAUAUAUAUGUGUUAGGUAAUGACAAUUGUAAAUAAUAAACAAGGUUUAUACAUUAAAAAUUCAAAUAAUACACUUAAAACAUAUUUUGCCACACGAUGGAGUAAUAUUCUUAAAUGUCCCAACAUGAUAUUAAAAUAAAGUAGAGAUCAUCAAGUUACAACAUAUAGCUGAUAUUAUCUUAAUUACUUAAUUAAAAUGAAUACUUAAAUACUCCCUCCGUCCAUGAAAGAACUUCCUAGGAGGGAGUGGCACGAGUUUUAAGAAAAAAUAUUAUUUAGUGUAUUAAGAGUGGAUAAAAGGUAGUUGAGUGUAUUGGGAGUGGUGAAAAGGUGUUAUAAUUAAUAUUGAGAGUUGUGAAAAAUGAAAAGUAAUAGGAUUAUAAGUGGUGGGGUAUAGUCCAAAAAUAGGUAGGAAGUUUUUUGUGGACGUCCCAAAAAGGAAAGAUAUGAAGUUGUUUCGUGGACGAAGGGAGUAUUAGUUUUUCAACUUUGAAUUAUGAUUAAAAGAUUUAAAUAAGUUACUUAUUUCAUAUUUUAACCUGACUACUUUUUUUAAUAUUAUUACAGUUUAAUUCUGCAAUCAAUUUAAAUAGGGUAGAUAAAUUGAUUAAGUUACUACAACUCCAAGGAAUGAUUAGAUAUGACGAGUGCGGGCUACGUACAUUCCUAUUUAUUUUCUCUUUUGAACAAGACUACCUACUUCUAUGAUUUUGUUUUGUAGGAGUAUAAUUUGAUACAUAAUUUAUUUUUCUUUAGCCUCUAUUUAAUUAAAUAAUGAAAAUAAUAAUAAAUGUUAUAAAAUUAUGCUUUCUUAAUACCACUACGUGCAUUUAAACGUUUUAAUUUAAUAAAAAAAAUUAAAAUUACAUUAUUUUUUACCAUUCAUAAUUUUAUAUUUAUGUAUUUGUACAUUUUAAUUUUUUAUAUUAUUUUUUAAUAUAAUAUAAUGAUCGUGCAUGGCACGGUGGGCAAAUACUAGUUGAAUUAAUAUAACACUAUUUUAUAUCAAGUAGUCGAUACCCGAUUACUUAUAAUGCGGUCUCUAGUCUUAGACCCAUUAAUUAUUUAUAUAUACUUUCCACCUCCCUUCCAAUUAUAUAAACUUAUUUUUCUUUUUUAAAUUAAUAUCUCCAAUGUAUAAAUUUAUUUUCAUAAAAGAUACUCCCUUCAUAAAUUACUUCAACACGGGUUUUAAGAAUUAUGUUGAGGGUUUGUAAGUGUAAUAUAAAUCUCACAUUAUUUAUGAGUGUAAUUAGUGGUGCCAAGGGCCAACCGGAACCGGCGGUUCGACCCUGAACCGGCCCGGUGGUCAACGGUUCCAGCCCGGACCGUUGACCACCGGGCCGGUUCAAGGCCGAACCGUCAAACGUUAAGGGCCGGUUUAGGUUCACAUAUAUUUCGACCCUGAACCGGCGGUCCGAACCGGCGGUUCGACUCUGAACCGCCAGUUCCAGCCGAAUUUUUAAAUUUUUUUUUAAAUCAAAUUCAUAUCCUAUAGUAUUUUUUAAUGUGGGAUUCAACUUAACUUAUAAAUAUAUAACUUAUAUUCAUGUAAUAUAUAUUUAUUAAAUUGCGAUUUUAUUAAAAAGGAAAAAGAAACCUAAAAACCCUUGAAAGCACACGAAAGCAGACUAAGGUCUAGGGAUCAAACCCCAUUGCUCCCCCUCUCCCAAAUGUCAAAAAAAAAAAAAAUUAUAAAUAUAUAACUUAUAUAAUAACUUAUAAAUAUAUCUUGUAUUUUUUAAAUUUUGCGUAUAUAUAUACUUAACUUUAAUAAUUUUGAAAUUACUCAACUUAAAAAUCUUAAAUAAUAUAAUAACCUAUAAAAAUUUUAAAUUUUAAUAAUUUUUGAAAUUUUUGAAUAAUUUUAAUAAUUUUAGUAAUAUAAUACUUAACUUUAAUAAUUUUGAAAAUUUUCAACACUUGUAAAGUAAAAAUUUUUGAAAUUUCAUCACAAAUCAUUUAAUUUCAUAAAAAAGAAUACAAAAAAAAAUUAAAAAGGAAAAGCCCGUGAACCACCGGUUUUCGGCCCGGCCUGGAACCGCCGGUUCAGGGUCCAAAAAUCGGCCCUUCAAAUUUUAGGCGGGCCGGUUCAGGUUCAUGAAAUUUUUGAACCUGAAUCACCGGUUCGGGCCCGGAACCGGCGGUUCCUGAACCGGUGGCAACCCUAAGUGUAAUAGUUAAAAGUGUUUGUGGGGUAUAUUGCCAAAAAUAAAUUAGGAAUAAAAUUUGGUGGACAGACCGAAAUAGCAAUAUAGGUAUAUUUUUGGUGGACGAAGGGUUUACUCAUUUGUAAAUAUAUCUUUAUUUAAUUCUUUCUUUUACUCCCACUUUAAUUUAUCAUUAAAUAAGAUGUAUGAACAUAUUAGGUCCAAUAUUUUAUUUGUAUUCCUUGUUUAAAUUCAAACCAUUCUAUAUAAUUGGGACGACGGGAGUUAAUAUAUAUUAUUACGCUAUCCCAUGAGAUGAACGACGAGUAUAAAAAAUGAACGAUAUUUUAAAUAAAUAAAUAUAAAUAUUAAAAAAUUAAAAUAUAAAUAAAUGAUAGAUGAGAUAGAUAAAAUUGAUAGGAUUGGUGGAUGGUGAGAUUAUCAAUUUUGAGGUGACAAAUAAUCAUUCAAUAGAAUGAUUAGGGUGCAUUAAAUAAUCAUUCAAUAGAACGAUUAUGGUGCAUGUUGAGUUACCUAUUACGGGAUGAAUCAUACAAAUCAAAUAAUUAAUUAAUUAAAUUGAAUGAUUUAAUGAAUUAUUUCCUACACUCAAACCAAAUAUCUUCUUUUAAGUAUGUGAUUACAACAAAAUUGAGGUACCAAAGACUCUCUUCCAAGAGGUCAUUGCUCCAAGUCCCGCCGAUAGCGUGUGGAUUGUAUUUUAUUUGGAUGUUGAGUUGUAUUUGCAUCUGUAUUUAUUUGAAUAUUUGAUAUAGUUUGCAAUAACAUGAUUGUUAUUUGAUUAAUUAAUUACAAAAAAAAAGAUUUAAUUGCCGGUGAAGGAAUUAGCGGCGGCACGUGGCCGCCGCUAAUUUUCUGGUCGGAGAUGUCAUCGGCGACGGCAAAAUGAAGCAGCCGGGGAUUACUGGCGGCUACUAUCGCCGGUAAACGUUGUCGGCCAAGUCGGGUGGUUGGCCGGACUUUUACCAGAUAAAAAUGCUGUAUUCUUACAUUUCCUACACGGGCACCUAAUGUUACCGAUUCCAUCUGUACACGCCGUUUGAUUUAUCGCAAACUCAAGGAAACCCUCAAGUCCCGUUUCAAAUGCAGCAUGAUCAUUGUAUCUCGCGUACAUCCACAUACGAUUAUCACUCUUUCUUGCAAAUUCUAAUUGAAAAAAAUAAAUAAAUAAAAUAUAAUAAAUUACUUGAAAUCUAAUAAAAUUUCGACAGCAUAACCCCACUAUCCUAACUACCAAGUGCUCGACUCUACCAGCAGCUAUAGUGAUAGCAGUCCUAAUUUACUAAGCCUAUACUCGGUCUACCCGGCCCCCCAAUAUCGAAGAAAUAAUAUAAUACAUAUAAAGCAAUAAAAAACAGAGUAAUUAAAUUAAACACAAUUAUUUGUUGCGAGAAGAUCCUUAAGAAAUAAUCAAUUUCUACACCAAAGGGAGAAGAUCCUUAAGAAAUUGAUUAAAUCUAUCCCACAAUAUAUAAUAACAUAUCAUUUUAUCUAAACAAAAUUAAUCAAACUAACAAAUUCUUAAUACUUAAUAUAACAAAUUCAUACUUAAUCAUACUUUAAAAACUAACAAAAUUAAUCAAACUAAUUAAAAUUAAUUUUACUUAAUUCAUAAUUCACCAUACUAUAAAUUAAUUUAAAUAUAUAUAAUUAACAUUAAUUUUAAUCUAACAAAAUAAUAAUAAAUCAAUUUAAAAUUAAUCAAACAAAUUACAAUUAAUCAUACUUCAUAAACAUCCUAUAAAUUAAUUAAAGUUAAUUUUAAUCUAACAAGUAAAUAAAUAAAUAAAAUGACGAGAACAAGAGCGUACCAUGGUGGUCGGCAACGGAACAGUGGCGGUAGCGGUAGCGGUGGGGCGGCGGGAACAACAUGAAAUUAGGGGGAGAGAGGAAGAGAGGGUGAGAGAGAGAGAGAGAGAGAAAAGGGUGGAUGCUUACCUUGACGAGGCGGACGGCAGGGGCGAUGGCGGCUACAGGCGACGGUGGCGGUAGCGGUGGGGCGCGGGUGGGGGGGGGGGGGGGGGCAGAGGGAAGGUGGGGGGCUGCUGGGGAGAAAUGCGGCUGGAGCUAGGGCGAAGACUAAUUUGGGCCUAAAAAUUAGCGGCAGCCCACGCCGCCGCUAUUAGCCGACCCGCUGUCAUUUCCCGGCGGCAAUAAACCGCCGCUAAUGGCCGGCGGCUAAAGGCCGCUACUAAUUUUUAAAAAAAAACAAAUCAAAAAUUAAAAUACAUUUUGCGGCGGCCGAAAAAUUUAUCGUCGGAAAUGCCGCCGAAAUUUCGGUCAAAUUUUACAAAAUCAGGUCGGCCGCUUCGCCGUCAGCGAGCCGCCACGGAUUCCCGGCGGCCGUCCCGCCGCCGCUAUUUCCGCCGCUAAUAUGGCUUUUUUUUGUAGUGAUUUAAGGACUCGUUUGCUACAUGAUAUUGGAUAAUGUAUGAUAUCUUUGACUUAGAGGUUAAUGUCCAAAACUUGAGGUUUUGGGUUCGAGUCCUCCGUCGCGCGGUCUUUGAAUUUUUUUAUUUAUUUAUGUAAUUUAUGAAAAAAUAUAUAAAUAAUAGAUAAUGAAUCAUUAAUUUAUAAGAAGGUUUAAUUUUUAUUAAAAUGUUAUAAGUAUUUAUCUCAUGCUCUUGUAGGGUAUAGUACUAUAGUAUUAUGUAUAGUAAACGAGUGCAAGCAUAUUAAACACACACCUUGUAUUUCUCAAAAGACAAAAACAAAAAAGUAUGCGAUUACUUACUGAUUAGUGAUAAUGAGAGUGGGGGGGAAGUAAUGGAGUUGUGCAGAAGUAUUAUUAUAUGUGAAACCUAAUAUGGUGUGGGAGUUGGCAAUGCAUAAAGUCAGUAUCAGUCAAGAGAGGAAAAGAGAGACGCAGAGAGAAAUUAAGAGCCACACAAAUCGUAGCUGACUUAACUACGUUAUUGCAUUGCUUACAUUUACUUUUAGGGUCCGUUCUCUUUAAUCAUAAAUUUAUCAUGGAAAAAUAAAAGAUAAAUAAAAUUUUACCCUUUAAAUCCUUCUUUUUUUUUUCUUCACAUUUUCUACUUGACCUUUACUCAUUCCUCAUUUACACUACAAAGGAGGGAUAAUAUUAUCACACCAUUUUUGGAGGGUCAAGUAGUGUAAGGGUCAAGUAGGAAAUGUGGAAAAAGAAAUGAAUGAUUUAAAGGGUGAAAUUUUGUUUAUCCUUCCUUUUCCCAUGAUAAAUUUACAACAACAAAAAAAAAAAAAACGCACCCUAACCUCUACAAAUUGUGGCGCAUUUCAACCUAGACUUUUACUAUGAAAUUAAGUGCGUUACCUAUACUAUGUAUACAUAAAGGUAAUAUGAAGUAUACAUAACAUAUUGAUUACCGUUUUAUAUGAAUAUACUACCGUUUAAUAACAUAUAUAAAUAUAUGUUAUAAAAUAUAUUUUUUACGUACUGUAUUGUAACUAUACAUAAUAGAUUUUUAUAUUUUAUAUAACAGUCAAUUACGUUAUCUAAUGAUAGCAAACAUAACAAUUUUUAACAAUUAUGAAACUAAUUUUUUCCGUUAUAAAUUGUAUUUCUUACAUUAUACAUAACGUCUUUUUUUUGUUUUACAUAACAGUCAUAUCCGUUAUGAAAUGUAACAACUUUUAAUCGCUAUGAAAUUUAUAUUAUUCGUUGUGCAAUUAGCUUAUAGAUAACAGUGUUUAUAUGUAUUUAGAGAAUGACACUAAGAACCGUUAUGUAUUCUUGAAUAUUGAAUUCAAGCAGUAUUUUAUUUUUUAUUUUUGCCAAAUUUUAUAAUUUCCUAAAUACAAAUUAUACAAUAUAUAAUAUCUUGAAAUACUACAAUCCAAAACAUAUAUUAUAUAAAUACUUAAUCAUCCAAGCAUUGUAUCAUCCAAAUAAUUUAAAUGGCAAGCGUAUAUCGAAAUUGCUUAACCAACCAUUUCCAAAUAGCUAGUAUAGUCAUUUAUAAUUUUCAACAAAAUAUGGUAUUCUGAAGCAGCUUGUUGGAAAAUUAAUGAAAUAUCUUUAUUCUAAUUUUGAUGAUACUAAAACCCUUAGUUUUUCUUUUAGUUGACUAGAUCUUUUAGAACUCAGUGUUAGAGUUCAAUUUACUAGCUAGACUGAAGAAUUGUAGAUUGAAGACCGACGAACUGAAGAUCGCUUGACUGAAGAUUGCAACUGGAAAGGUUGAAGACAAAUACUAAAGUAUUUAAAGGACGGAGUCUUCACUGAAGAUUCAGUUAUGACUAAAUAACUAAUGUUGGCCACGUGGAAAUAGCGGAGUGAUACAUAAGUCAAGUAUCAGUGGACAUUCUUCAUCGGACUGAAGACUUAGGUUUAAAGGAGCCACGUAUUCACACCAAGUACAACCGCAUUAAAUGCGAAGAUAUGAAGAUCGUCCUCGCCUGCGCAGAGCUUUCCUUUUUCGUGCUAACUUUUCAGAAGCACCAUGCUCUUACUGCUAGAGACGCCCUUCCUCAACAAAUCAGGAGCCUCGAAGAUGGAAGCCUCAGCCCAAGAUUCAAAUCUAUCUCACAACGGAUCUAUUCAAGACUUUGCCUAUAAAUAGAGCUCAAGGAUCAUCUUCAAUUUUCAUCGAUUCAAACACUUAAGCUGAAACUCUGCCAAAUCUGCAUCUCAGCCUAUUCAUUGCUAUUCAAAGUUUGAAUCGAAGAAGAAAAUAUCCAAAGCUCAAAUCAGUUUACUGAUUACCAAAAUUCUCUUAUCAUUCUUAGGCAUUUUCAUUGUAAACCUUUAGCCUAAGCUCCAAUUACUAAGAGCCUGUUCUUAGUAAUCCAGUUGCUACUCGAACCCUUUUCUAAAAGAGCGAAAAGAAAGUUUGAGAGAGAGAGUUUUAGACAAUUGUCUGAACUCAAGAGUUCUUAGCCCCGCAACCAAGACAUCUGUUGUCUUUGCAACUGCGAGUUAAGAAGGAGACGAGAAGUCCAAUCCAGUGUAUUGGCACUGAAACCUAGUUUCAGUUUAAGGUUUGCUUUGCACCGUAAAUACAAGCCCAGAGUAUUUGUCAGUGUGAUCGGCUGGUCGUGGAUGUAGGAACUUGUUUAUGAACCACGUAAAAAUCUCGUGUUGUUUAUUGCUUUCAAUUUUUACGAUUCCUUGCUUGUGCACAAACUAUUUAUUUAACUAAAACUACUAACUGAAAAGAGAAACUUAAAACAGACAAAGUGUCAAUCACAAAGGCUAUUUCUUAAUUUUAAUUUUCCGCUGCUGGUGUUAUCAGUCUAACUGACAAAUCCUUGGAUAGUAAGUAAGAUUUAUUAUAACACUUAUCUAAUUUCAAAUUAUAGACUGAAACCUUUCGUGGAUUACCAAUUAAAGCGUUGUGCCUAACUGAAAUCAAAUCACUGAAACUAUUUCAGUAUCAGUCUACACCCCAUUCUAAACUGAAACAUCUUUGACUGUUGACUUCAGUCUACAUUCUUUCAGUAUCAAUCGAUACUCACUUCUGUGUUAUCAAAAGAAUUUUCGAAAAAUAACCCACUGGUGUUUCCCCCCCCCCAAUACACCAGUUCAGUGACCCUCCGGGACCCAACACAGCUUCGAGUCAAAAGCAACCCAUCCAUCCCAACUCUCGUUUGCCAAAUCGCGGAAUCAAAACUAAAAAUCAAACCGGGGCGUAUCUCGUCUUGCGGAUAGAGGAUCCUCCUCGACUCGGCUACAUCUUUUCACGGGUUUUUCCAUUCUUGUAAUUUCAAUAUAGUUUAGUUCAUUGUAAUUCUCAUCUCCUACUUUUUUGUUUCAUUGUAACUACGCCCGCAAGUGGAUUUAAAUUCUCACCAACAUCUCAUACAAGACUUGUACUGGUAAAAUAAAAUAUGAACUUGAAACACAAAUACAACCUUAACGCUAAUGAAUGAAUUUAUCCAAUUUCAGAAAUUGAAUUUGAAAACAGACAAGAAAUGUUCAGACCAAAAAAACACAAAAACAAAAUUCUAAUAACCUGUCGGCUCUCGGAGAAGAGCCAUGGUUUUCUCACUAGUUUAGGAUUAAAUUCCAUAGAAGUACGGAUCAUGGUGAUUUUCAGGAGAAUACAAAGAAAGGUGUCGGAAAAUCUAGGAAGAAGAAGGAGAUAGAAUCAAAGACACACAAAAAAUGUAUCGAAUUUAAGCACGAACAAAGAAGCAAGAUCACAAGGAAGGAAAGGUACCUUGUUUGUUCCCGAACAUGUUAAACAUGAGCUUUCGUCGGGUCGUCACCGGGAAAAGACGUCGGGAGAAGCAAAGGCGAAUAGGAUUGGAUCGGAAAAAAAAACUAACAAAAGGCAAAUGAAGCGAUAAUGAUCGAAAGCGG